Molecule: long non-coding RNA, 736 nt
Filed under: Prunus persica (peach)
Lineage: Eukaryota; Viridiplantae; Streptophyta; Magnoliopsida; Rosales; Rosaceae
Description: long non-coding RNA (PPER_LNC000405)
Source: RNAcentral
UCUGGAGUAAGUGGCGAUUUUCUCAGCAUCCUCAUUUCUUGAAUUCCAAAGCUUGCUUGAAAUUUUGCAAGUUUGCAAAUUUACAAGGGCAAAUGGAUCUCAAAGCCGUGCAUGUCUUAAACAUUCCUAGUCUCCACGAAAUCACAGGUUGUCCAUUCUUCAUGCUUGGCUCAAGGUGAUAACCAUUCCAUCAAAUUGCUUUGAAUUAUAUAUAAUAGAAAAAGAAAAAAAAGAAAGUGGUUUUGAUCUUGAUCUUGUGUUUUGUGAAUAGGUCUGAAGGAUGAAGCUGAGGAGAGAGAGAGAGAGAGAGAAAGAGAAGAAAACCGCAAGGGGGAUGGGUUUUGUGUGUCUGGGUUUGUGUGAGAGAGAAAGAGAGAGAGAUGGAGAAAUUGAGGAAGAAGAAAAUGGCCGGAGAAAGGGAGAAGAAGAAAAUCGCAGAGAUGAGAUUUUUUUUUAAUGAAAAAAUUUGUUUGAAAAUACAUUUUUGCCCAUGCCAAAUAGAACUUGUCUAUGUCACGUCAUUAUUUUUAACUGAAAAAUUGACUGAGAUGAUGGAAAGGACAAUAUCUGAAAAUGGAGGCAUAAUUAAAGUACCACGGUAACAACAAAACAAUAAGAGGGAUGAAAAAUAAAGUUUGGUCUUAGUCUAGGACCAUUGCUACAAUUUAACCUAGUAAUUAUGACACUCAUAAAUCAUAAUUUAAAAUGUUAAUUUUAGUUAGAGAAAUAAAGUUAG